UACGUAGGGCGCAAGCGUUGUCCGGAAUUAUUGGGCGUAAAGAGCUCGUAGGCGGUCUGUCGCGUCGGCUGUGAAAGCCCGGGGCUCAACCCCGGGUCUGCAGUCGAUACGGGCAGGCUAGAGUGCGGUAGGGGAGACUGGAAUUCCUGGUGUAGCGGUGAAAUGCGCAGAUAUCAGGAGGAACACCGGUGGCGAAGGCGGGUCUCUGGGCCGUAACUGACGCUGAGGAGCGAAAGCCAGGGGAGCGAACGGG
Molecule: ribosomal RNA, 253 nt
Filed under: uncultured bacterium
Lineage: Bacteria
Description: partial 16S ribosomal RNA
Rfam family: Bacterial small subunit ribosomal RNA
Source: RNAcentral